UCGAGGAUUUUCCGCAAUGGGCGCAAGCCUGACGGAGCGACGCCGCGUGCGCGAUGAAGGCCUUCGGGUUGUAAAGCGCUGUCGAGGGGGAGGAAAGCCGUAAGGUCUGACCUAUCCCUGGAGGAAGCACGGGCUAAGUUCGUGCCAGCAGCCGCGGUAAGACGAACCGUGCAAACGUUGUUCGGAAUCACUGGGCUUAAAGGGCGCGUAGGCGGCUCGCCAAGUCGGGGGUGAAAUCUUUCGGCUUAACCGGAAAAGUGCCUUCGAUACUGGCGGGCUUGAGCGAGGUAGGGGCAUGUGGAACUUCCGGUGGAGCGGUGAAAUGCGUUGAUAUCGGAAGGAACGCCGGUGGCGAAAGCGACGUGCUGGACCUCUUCUGACGCUGAGGCGCGAAAGCUAGGGUAGCGAACGGGAUUAGAUACCCCUGUAGUCC
Molecule: ribosomal RNA, 433 nt
Filed under: uncultured bacterium
Lineage: Bacteria
Description: bacterial SSU rRNA
Rfam family: Bacterial small subunit ribosomal RNA
Source: RNAcentral